CGGUAUUCGAUACAAACAAUUUUCUAUCGUUUUCUUCGUCUCCUUCCGCUCAAUCCAGAUCUCGCUCCAUCCGUCACCCCUCCCCCCCUCCGCCCCUCCUGUCUCGACGCCGUCAAAGGCUUCGACCGACGAAAGCUCGCCCCGAUCCGGGGACGGUGGCGAUGGGGGCAACUCUCCGUAUGGCGGCGGUGCGGUGGUGCGCGACGACGAGGGCCGCAGGCGAGCACGGUGGGCGGCGGCGGACUCGGGUUGGUGGGCCGCAGGCGAGCGCGGUGGGCGGCGACGGACUCGAAGGAGUUCUCAGGUGGUCAGGCCUCCGGCGGCUGAUGUCCACGGGACGUCCAGAUCCGGCGGCUUCUAUCGGCGGAGGUUGGUGGCGGAGGCUGCAGGCCGACAAAGAGAUGGCGAGCAACAGGUGUGGCAGGGUUGGUGGUCAGUGCGGCGUGGUGGCUCGGCG
RNAcentral lists this long non-coding RNA (457 nucleotides) under Hordeum vulgare. Its description in RNAcentral is "long non-coding RNA (HVUL_LNC002327)". The record is from RNAcentral. Lineage: Eukaryota; Viridiplantae; Streptophyta; Magnoliopsida; Poales; Poaceae.